This 848-nucleotide ribosomal RNA is filed under the name Brodoa atrofusca. RNAcentral's name for it is "eukaryotic LSU rRNA". It matches the Rfam family "Eukaryotic large subunit ribosomal RNA", at positions 71 to 936 of the family's 3401-position model. Lineage: Eukaryota; Fungi; Ascomycota; Lecanoromycetes; Lecanorales; Parmeliaceae. The record is from RNAcentral.
GGGAUUGCCUCAGUAACGGCGAGUGAAGCGGGAACAGCUCAAAUUUGAAAUCUGGCCCUUUCAGGGUCCGAGUUGUAAUUUGUAGAGAGUGUUUCGGGUGAGACCACGGUCUAAGUCCAUUGGAACAUGGCGUCAUAGAGGGUGAGAAUCCCGUAUGUGACCGUGGAUCGAGCCCAUGUGAAGCCUCUUCGACGAGUCGAGUUGUUUGGGAAUGCAGCUCAAAAUGGGUGGUAAAUUUCAUCUAAAGCUAAAUACUGGCUGGAGACCGAUAGCGCACAAGUAGAGUGAUCGAAAGAUGAAAAGCACUUUGGAAAGAGAGUCAAACAGUACGUGAAAUUGUUGAAAGGGAAGCGCUUGCAACCAGACCUGUCCGUAGGUGAUCAGCCGCUGUUCUCAGUGGUGCACUCGCUCUGCGAUCAGGCCAGCAUCGGUUCGGGCGGUCGGAUAAAGGCCUUGGGAAUGUAGCUCCCUCCGGGGAGUCUUAUAGCCCUCGGUGCAAUGCGGCCAGCCGGGACCGAGGACCGCGCUUCGGCUAGGAUGCUGGCGUAAUGGUUGUAAGCGACCCGUCUUGAAACACGGACCAAGGAGUCUAACAUCUAUGCGAGUGUUUGGGUGUCAAACCCAUGCGCGGAAUGAAAGUGAACGGAGGUGAGAACCCUUAAGGGCGCAUCAUCGACCGAUCCAGAUGUCUUCGGAUGGAUUUGAGUAUGAGCAUAGCUGUUGGGACCCGAAAGAUGGUGAACUAUGCCUGAAUAGGGUGAAGCCAGAGGAAACUCUGGUGGAGGCUCGCAGCGGUUCUGACGUGCAAAUCGAUCGUCAAAUUUGGGUAUAGGGGCGAAAGACUAAUC